AAUUAAAAUUUUUAGAAAAAUUGAAGAAGAUCACUUACUCAAUAAGAAGAAACAUAAACAAGAAAACCUUACUUGUUGGCCUCGAGUUCAUCUUCCUUCAACCUCAUUUUUGCAGUAGCAUGGUUAGCACGAGGGUCUCGAAUCCGCACACCACAAGGUCUCGAAAUGGCAUCUUCCAUAGACACGUCUUCACCACCAUUCUCUUUCCCAAGUGCGACCUUAUCAUACUCAUCUUCUUCGUCCUGCGUCAAGAAGCAAAAAUUUCAAGCCGUGAAGAAUUGUUUCAACGGUUUAUGAAUUAAAAAAAAUUGUUUCACAACAAAAGGUAUAGAAACAAUGCUCAGUAUCAAAGAAAACGAGAUGUUCUCCUACUAAGCCUACGACUGUUAACAAUAAAAAUUGAAAAUUCAAGAACCUUCAAUUGGAAACUGAUACGAACCUUUUAAUUUGCAAAAGAACUAGAAAAUUUAGGCUACCAUUUCUCUUAACACUAAGCUAAAUCUCUCUUGAAGAUUAAAAUUAAUUCAAACUGAUACGAACCUUAGUCUAAAUCUUUUAAUUCUUCAUGUGUGAACAAAGGUUCAUAUCAAGAUCAUUGUGUUGAAAGUUCACGUACUACAAAACCUAACGAUCUUCCAGGCUAAUGAUAUGAAUACAUAUGAAUUCAAUUGUUCCCUAGUUUUACUCAAGCGUUUCCUAACUUGCACAAUCGUUACCUAACCAAAACAAUUUAAAGAGGAAUUGAUUAUACCUCAUCAUCGAGAGUACGGUCAAGGCCCAUGGAUGCUCUGAUGCUCCAAUCAUCAUCCUCAUCACCAAAAUCCUCGUCACCACCUUACUCACCCUCCUUCCGAUCAGUGCUCGAGAUCCUCUGCUGCCUCAUAAUCUCGUCGAAUGAUGACGCACAAGGCAUCUCUUCCCUAUCGUACGAAGCGAGCUGCUCUCGCUUCCACUCCCGCUUCUCCACUUCUGUGCCACACCGAGCCCGAUUGCGUUUGCCGCAGCGGCGGAGCAGAAGACGUGGAGGUAGUAGAAGACGUGGAGCAGGAGAAGGCGAGAGAUUCGAAGAUCCUCUCGACGCGAGACUGAAAAUCUUCGUCGGCCAUCGCAAAUCGAGUUGGAGGAAGAAAGGAAAAAAAAAGAAUCACAAAAGCCGACACGUGUAAUAAGAGUCCCCUUUGCGAUUGGUUCCAAAAACGCUUAAUUAAGGAUUGGUUAUCCUUAUUUCUUUUCAUUUUGAUUUACUUAAAUGCCUUCUUUUGUUUAAAAACCCAUCUUAGAAACUUCAUUAAUGAUGCUCUAAGAUGCUAGUAUAAAAAAAAAAGAAUGUUGUCGUCAGACCCAAUUAAUACUCCCUUUGUUUCAUUAUAAGUGUCAUUUGAGACUUUUGCACACAGAUUAAGAAAUCAUUUAAUUUUGCAUGUUUUCCAUAUAAAAAUGUUAUUACCCAUACACCUACUCCUAUUUCAACCACAGAAAAAUAAAUUGCAGAAUAAAGUUAAUAAAUUAUGCAUCGAAAUACUAAAACGACACUUAUUUUGCAACGAAUUUUUUUUUCUAUAACGACACUUAAUAUGAAACGGAGGGAGUAAAAUAUAAUAUCGUUAUUCGUUACUAUUCCCUAGCUCUUAAUGCCAACUCGUUUACUAUCUGGAUUUGUGUUAAAUUGUAUAAGUGUCACUUUGGUAUCGAGGUAUGGUGGUAUGGUAGUUGAGACUUUGCGAAAAGUUUUAGGGUAGUAUAUUCUACGUGUAUGUUUAUGAAACGGUGAAAGAAAAAUAAGAACGGUAAAAAAUAUUAAAAUAGUAUGGCUUAAAGGCAUUAAGGCCAUAAGAAAUCGUCGACGUCUUUUUUACUCAUUCGAGUCAAUUAUUAAAAUUUUAACGAACGAGAAAGUGGAAAUAUUUUUUAUAAACGUAUUUUAUCUAUUUAUUUAAGAAGAAGAAGAUGAACAUGUCCAUCCUUUAUAUCAAUGACCUUCGAGAAAAAACACCAUUGCUCCCACUUAGAGAGAGAGAGAGAGAGAAAGAAAGAGAGUUCUUCACAGGCUCAGAGCAACUAGAGAAAGGAUCCAAAGGGAUCGCAUUGAUCCUAAUUAAGCUGAAUUUAUUCCCAAAUAAUUGUUAUAUUUUUCUCAAUCUAAAGAAAAAGUCCCAAAAAUCUGCUUCGUUUUCAGGAUCAUGCGAUCUAUUUGGAUUCAUCCUUUGGUUGCUUCCAUUUUGGUCAAAGUGUUUCACUGCCGGGGACUUCACCGGCGGGAAAAUCUCCAGUGGGUCGAUCCAUGCCUCUUGGUCAGCGCAGGGAACUAGCCAACUUGGUGCAAAACAGUUGACGAAUGGGGACCCAAAAACUCGUGAUCUUCCUCCUUUAGCAAGGGAGUCAUCACGAACGUUCAUCGAUCUUGGAAUAUAUGCUACAGAGACCUCAGUAAAAACAGCAGAAAGGACUUUAAUCUCAUCUACUGCUUUUUUUGUUUUUAAGUUUAUAACUUUGGUUUUUCUUUCCAUUUUAUGUAAUCUCUUAUAUGUUAAAAGAUAAGCAUUUGCAAUAAAUGUUUUCACACACA
This is a long non-coding RNA of Brassica napus (rape), 2566 nucleotides long. RefSeq lists it as uncharacterized. Lineage: Eukaryota; Viridiplantae; Streptophyta; Magnoliopsida; Brassicales; Brassicaceae. The transcript has 2 exons. The record is from RefSeq and is a predicted model, not a curated record.